Molecule: ribosomal RNA, 1018 nt
Filed under: Pedobacter sp.
Lineage: Bacteria; Pseudomonadati; Bacteroidota; Sphingobacteriia; Sphingobacteriales; Sphingobacteriaceae
Description: bacterial SSU rRNA
Rfam family: Bacterial small subunit ribosomal RNA
Source: RNAcentral
GAGCUUGCUCUUCUAGAGACCGGCGCACGGGUGCGUAACGCGUAUGCAACCUACCUUUAUCUGGGGGAUAGCCCGGAGAAAUCCGGAUUAAUACCGCAUAAAAUCACAGUACUGCAUAGUACAAUGAUCAAACAUUUAUGGGAUGAAGAUGGGCAUGCGUGUCAUUAGCUAGUUGGCGGGGUAACGGCCCACCAAGGCGACGAUGACUAGGGGAUCUGAGAGGAUGGCCCCCCACACUGGUACUGAGACACGGACCAGACUCCUACGGGAGGCAGCAGUAAGGAAUAUUGGUCAAUGGAGGCAACUCUGAACCAGCCAUGCCGCGUGCAGGAAGACUGCCCUAUGGGUUGUAAACUGCUUUUACUCGGGAAUAAACCUAGAUACGUGUAUUUAGCUGAAUGUACCGAGGGAAUAAGGAUCGGCUAACUCCGUGCCAGCAGCCGCGGUAAUACGGAGGAUCCAAGCGUUAUCCGGAUUUAUUGGGUUUAAAGGGUGCGUAGGCGGCCUGUUAAGUCAGGGGUGAAAGACGGUAGCUCAACUAUCGCAGUGCCCUUGAUACUGAUGGGCUUGAAUGGACUAGAGGUAGGCGGAAUGAGACAAGUAGCGGUGAAAUGCAUAGAUAUGUCUCAGAACACCGAUUGCGAAGGCAGCUUACUAUGGUCUUAUUGACGCUGAGGCACGAAAGCGUGGGGAUCAAACAGGAUUAGAUACCCUGGUAGUCCACGCCCUAAACGAUGAACACUCGCUGUUGGCGAUACACAGUCAGCGGCUAAGCGAAAGCGUUAAGUGUUCCACCUGGGGAGUACGCCCGCAAGGGUGAAACUCAAAGGAAUUGACGGGGGCCCGCACAAGCGGAGGAGCAUGUGGUUUAAUUCGAUGAUACGCGAGGAACCUUACCCGGGCUUGAAAGUUAGUGAAUGAUCUAGAGAUAGAUCAGUGAGCAAUCACACGAAACUAGGUGCUGCAUGGCUGUCGUCAGCUCGUGCCGUGAGGUGUUGGGUUAAGUCCCGCAACGAGC